This 2907-nucleotide ribosomal RNA is filed under the name Yersinia ruckeri. Its description in RNAcentral is "23S ribosomal RNA". It matches the Rfam family "Bacterial large subunit ribosomal RNA". Lineage: Bacteria; Pseudomonadati; Pseudomonadota; Gammaproteobacteria; Enterobacterales; Yersiniaceae. The record is from RNAcentral.
GGUUAAGCGACUAAGCGUACACGGUGGAUGCCUAGGCAGUCAGAGGCGAUGAAGGGCGUGCUAAUCUGCGAAAAGCGUCGGUAAGCUGAUAUGAAGCGUAAUAACCGACGAUACCCGAAUGGGGAAACCCAGUGCAAUUCGUUGCACUAUUGCAUGGUGAAUACAUAGCCAUGCAAGGCGAACCGGGGGAACUGAAACAUCUAAGUACCCCGAGGAAAAGAAAUCAACCGAGAUUCCCCCAGUAGCGGCGAGCGAACGGGGAAGAGCCCAGAGUCUGAAUCAGUUGGUGUGUUAGUGGAAGCGUCUGGAAAGUCGCACGGUACAGGGUGAUAGUCCCGUACACAAAAACACACUGGCUGUGAACUCGAUGAGUAGGGCGGGACACGUGACAUCCUGUCUGAAUAUGGGGGGACCAUCCUCCAAGGCUAAAUACUCCUGACUGACCGAUAGUGAACCAGUACCGUGAGGGAAAGGCGAAAAGAACCCCGGCGAGGGGAGUGAAAUAGAACCUGAAACCGUGUACGUACAAGCAGUGGGAGCACCUUCGUGGUGUGACUGCGUACCUUUUGUAUAAUGGGUCAGCGACUUAUAUUUUGUAGCAAGGUUAACCGAAUAGGGGAGCCGUAGGGAAACCGAGUCUUAACUGGGCGUCUAGUUGCAAGGUAUAGACCCGAAACCCGGUGAUCUAGCCAUGGGCAGGUUGAAGGUUGGGUAACACUAACUGGAGGACCGAACCGACUAAUGUUGAAAAAUUAGCGGAUGACUUGUGGCUGGGGGUGAAAGGCCAAUCAAACCGGGAGAUAGCUGGUUCUCCCCGAAAGCUAUUUAGGUAGCGCCUCGUGAACUCAUCUUCGGGGGUAGAGCACUGUUUCGGCUAGGGGUCCAUCCCGGAUUACCAAACCGAUGCAAACUCCGAAUACCGAAGAAUGUUAUCACGGGAGACACACGGCGGGUGCUAACGUCCGUCGUGAAGAGGGAAACAACCCAGACCGCCAGCUAAGGUCCCAAAGUCAUGGUUAAGUGGGAAACGAUGUGGGAAGGCAUAGACAGCCAGGAUGUUGGCUUAGAAGCAGCCAUCAUUUAAAGAAAGCGUAAUAGCUCACUGGUCGAGUCGGCCUGCGCGGAAGAUGUAACGGGGCUAAACCAUGCACCGAAGCUGCGGCAGCGACGCUUAGGCGUUGUUGGGUAGGGGAGCGUUCUGUAAGCCGUUGAAGGUGGCCUGUGAGGGCUGCUGGAGGUAUCAGAAGUGCGAAUGCUGACAUAAGUAACGAUAAUGCGGGUGAAAAACCCGCACGCCGGAAGACCAAGGGUUCCUGUCCAACGUUAAUCGGGGCAGGGUGAGUCGACCCCUAAGGCGAGGCUGAAAAGCGUAGUCGAUGGGAAACAGGUUAAUAUUCCUGUACUGGGUGUGACUGCGAAGGGGGGACGGAGAAGGCUAGGCUAGCCGGGCGACGGUUGUCCCGGUUUAAGCAUGUAGGCGGAGUGACUUGGUAAAUCCGGUUGCUUAUCAACGCUGAGGUGUGAUGACGAGCCACUACGGUGGCGAAGUAGUUGAUGCCAAGCUUCCAGGAAAAGCCUCUAAGCAUCAGGUGACAUUCAAUCGUACCCCAAACCGACACAGGUGGUCAGGUAGAGAAUACUCAGGCGCUUGAGAGAACUCGGGUGAAGGAACUAGGCAAAAUGGUGCCGUAACUUCGGGAGAAGGCACGCUGGCAUUAGGUAAAGAGACUUGCUCUCGGCGCCGAAGCCAGUCGCAGAUACCAGCUGGCUGCAACUGUUUAAUAAAAACACAGCACUGUGCAAACACGAAAGUGGACGUAUACGGUGUGACGCCUGCCCGGUGCUGGAAGGUUAAUUGAUGGGGUCAGCCGCAAGGCGAAGCUCUUGAUCGAAGCCCCAGUAAACGGCGGCCGUAACUAUAACGGUCCUAAGGUAGCGAAAUUCCUUGUCGGGUAAGUUCCGACCUGCACGAAUGGCGUAAUGAUGGCCAGGCUGUCUCCACCCGAGACUCAGUGAAAUUGAACUCGCUGUGAAGAUGCAGUGUACCCGCGGCAAGACGGAAAGACCCCGUGAACCUUUACUAUAGCUUGACACUGAAUAUUGAGCCUUGAUGUGUAGGAUAGGUGGGAGGCAUCGAAGCGUGGACGCCAGUCUGCGUGGAGCCAACCUUGAAAUACCACCCUUUAAUGUUUGAUGUUCUAACUCGGCCCCAUAAUCUGGGGUGAGGACAGUGUCUGGUGGGUAGUUUGACUGGGGCGGUCUCCUCCCAAAGAGUAACGGAGGAGCACGAAGGUUAGCUAAUCACGGUCGGACAUCGUGAGGUUAGUGCAAAGGCAUAAGCUAGCUUGACUGCGAGAGUGACGGCUCGAGCAGGUACGAAAGUAGGUCUUAGUGAUCCGGUGGUUCUGAAUGGAAGGGCCAUCGCUCAACGGAUAAAAGGUACUCCGGGGAUAACAGGCUGAUACCGCCCAAGAGUUCAUAUCGACGGCGGUGUUUGGCACCUCGAUGUCGGCUCAUCACAUCCUGGGGCUGAAGUAGGUCCCAAGGGUAUGGCUGUUCGCCAUUUAAAGUGGUACGCGAGCUGGGUUUAGAACGUCGUGAGACAGUUCGGUCCCUAUCUGCCGUGGGCGUUGGAAGAUUGAGAGGGGCUGCUCCUAGUACGAGAGGACCGGAGUGGACGCAUCACUGGUGUUCGGGUUGUCAUGCCAAUGGCAUUGCCCGGUAGCUAAAUGCGGAAAAGAUAAGCGCUGAAAGCAUCUAAGCGCGAAACUUGCCUCGAGAUGAGUCUUCCCUGGGGCUUUAAGCCCCCUGAAGGAACGUUAAAGACUAUGACGUUGAUAGGCUGGGUGUGUAAGUGCAGCGAUGCAUUGAGCUAACCAGUACUAAUGAUCCGUGAGGCUUAACCUU